GCUUGUCUCAAAGAUUAAGCCAUGCAUGUCUAAGUAUAAACUUCUUUAUACCGUGAAACUGCGUACAGCUCAUUAUAUCAGUAAUGAUUUAUUUGAUGGUAUGUUCCUACAUGGAUAUCUGUAGUAAUUCUAGAGCUAAUACAUGCGUCAAAACCCAACUUCUGGGAGGGUUGUAUUUAUUAGAUGGAAACCAAUGCGGGGCAACCCGGUAUAUGGUGAUUCAUAAUAACUUUCGGAUCGAUCUUCGGAUCGAUGCAUCAUUCAAGUUUCUGCCCUAUCAGCUUUGGAUGGUAGGGUAUUGGCCUACCAUGGCUUUAACGGGUAACGGAGAAUUAGGGUUCGAUUCCGGAGAGGGAGCCUGAGAAAUGGCUACCACAUCCAAGGAAGGCAGCAGG
This 395-nucleotide ribosomal RNA is filed under the name uncultured Spumella. Its description in RNAcentral is "partial small subunit ribosomal RNA". It matches the Rfam family "Eukaryotic small subunit ribosomal RNA", at positions 30 to 432 of the family's 1831-position model. The record is from RNAcentral. Lineage: Eukaryota; Synurophyceae; Ochromonadales; Ochromonadaceae.